GAGGGUAUAGCUCAGUGGUGGAGUGCAUGCCCAGCAUGCACAAGGUCUUGAGUUCAACCCCCAGUACCUCCA
RNAcentral lists this transfer RNA (72 nucleotides) under Camelus bactrianus (Bactrian camel). It matches the Rfam family "tRNA". From Rfam's summary of the family: Transfer RNA (tRNA) molecules are approximately 80 nucleotides in length. The record is from Rfam by way of RNAcentral. RNAcentral also lists the same sequence under 2 other names. Lineage: Eukaryota; Metazoa; Chordata; Mammalia; Artiodactyla; Camelidae.